UGCAUGAAUUGUUGACAUGGAAAAAUGAGCAUCUUUUAUUUAAUCGUUGAUAAGGAAAUCAUGGAUUUUAUGGUAUAUUGGAAAAUUUAAAUAUGCUUAUGUUGUCUUGUUAUUUAGAAAAUUGAUAGAAAAUCUUUUUAACGAGAAUGAAGUUGAAAACCUUACAAACUUUGUGGAAGUUAGAUUAUUUAAGUUUUUUCUGAAACUACCUGGUUAUAAACUAUGUAUUUGAAAGGAAAUGUAUACCUCUGAGAUUUAUGUGGUUUUAACACCAUGUCAUAUGUGGUUUCCCAAUGAUCACCCGAUUUGGUUUUUGUAGUCUUUGUAAUAAUGGAAUCAGAUCUAGGUCAGUGCCCUUUCACUUUGGAUGACGUGUUCUUCCCUGCUGCCUAUGGGGGGAAAAGGUUCCUUGAUUAUGUUUGGGUGAGGCUGCUGUCCAUGGGGCCAAAAGACCACAUGAAAAAGAGGUCUUAUUUGACGCACUCUAUUACCCAUGGGGGGAGAGAAAAACCAUGAGGGUAUGGGUGAGGCUAUUGUCCAUAAGGCCAAGAGUCUACAUACCAGAGAGGAAAAUAUCAUGCCAGUUGUGAAUGGGUGAAUCCCUUGACCGGUCUAUGUGGUAGUGUGGUAUAUAUAUGAUAAUUUACCUUUUGUUAGAUAUUAUGGCUUUGGAAAUUAUAUUGUUGGUGCUCACAGAUUAUAGUAUAUAGUUUCAAGGUAUUUACUUUGAGAAACUUUGUGUUUCAUUAUUCAAUCAUUCUUAUCAUAUCAUAUUUGUAACAUCCCAAUCAGCUUUAAAAAAAAGUCAAGAUCAGAUAUAUUUUUGGGUUCCCAUGUGCCAAGCCCUACCUAACCUCACUACCCACAUCACAAUCACUCUAUCUUUUCAUUCCUUUGGCUGGCUCACUCCCUCACUUCUCUUUUCUUUCUUUUCUUCUUUUUCAUUUUCGGUAGAACACUCUCUACUCUCAUCCUCUCCACUGGCACUUCCACACCACCACCAUCACCAUUUCCACAAUCAUUUUUCCGGCAAGAUCACCAGAAGAUUCUUGGGAACCCAUAAACACCUUCACAUCCUUUUUUUGAGGUCCUAGCUAAUCUCCUUGGAACUUGGAGAAUUAGGAUUUCGCGGUUGCGAGGUAAGUAGCUUUUAAUGGGAUUUUGAAAAAUAACCAUGUUAUAUAAAUGUUUUUGGAUUAGACACGCUUUUGGAAACUACCUAUGGAAAUUAUAUUUUCCUAAAAACUAUUGCGUCGUAACCUUAAUAUAUAUAUAUAUAUAUAUAUGAUUAUAUAUAGAAAUGCAUCAUAUUUGGUAUUGCAUUUGGGGAAAUGCAUGAAUUGUUGAUAUGGAAAAAUGAGUAUCUUUCAUUUAAUCUUUGAUAAGAAAAUCAUUGAUUUUGUGGUUUAUUGAAAAAUUUAAAGAUGCUUACCUUGUCUUGUAUUAUUUGGUGAUUUGAUAGAAAUCUCUUGACAAGAAUGAAGUUGAAAACCUUACAAACUUUGUAGAAGUUAGAUUAUUUAAGGUUUUCUGAAACUACUUGGAUAUGAACUAUGUGUUUCAAAGUAAUGUAACAUGUGAGUUGUUUUAACACCAUGCUAUGUGUGAUUUCCUGAUGAUCACCCGAUUUAGUUUCAGUAGUCUUUGUGACAACGGAAUCAAAUCCAGGUCAAUGCCCUUUCACUUUGGAUGAUGCUUUCUUCCCUGUUGUCCAUGGGGGAAAGAGGUUCCUUAAUUGUGUGUGGGUGAGGCUGCUGUCCAUGGGGCCAAAAGACCACAUGCAAGAGAGGUCCUAUUUGACGUGCUCUCUCUGUUGCCCAUGGGGGGAAAGAAAAACCUUGAGGGUAUGGCUGAGGCUGCUAUCCUUGGGGCCAAGAGUCUGCAUACCAGAGAGGAUAAUAUCAUGCCAGUUGUGAAUGGGUGGAUCCCCUGAUCGGUCUAUGUGGUAAUAUGGUAGAUUUGUGAUAAUCUAUCUUAUGUUAGAUAUUAUGGCUUUGGAAAUUAUAUUGUUGAUGCUCACAGAUUAUAGUGUAUAGUUUCAAGGUAUUUUCUUUGAGAAACUUUGUGUUUCAUUAUUUAAUCAUUCUUGUCAUAUUAUUAUUUUGAUGAUGAAACUUGCAUUUCCCCCACCCCCAUUAAAUGUGCUACUUACUGGGUUUUGUCUCAUCCCAUUAUUUUAUAAACUUUUCAAAGUAGGUAACAAUCUUUUGAGAUAGCUUUUUGAUGGCUAAUAGUAGUUAGACUAACUACUGAUGGAGGCUGAACUUUUGUAAUGGAGAUAUUAGAUGUUACAUCUUAGAAUAGGCUUGACUCAUUCUUUUGUAUAUUAUAGUGGUUGUGACUUUAUUCCCACCGAUGGAACAAGUUGUUGAUAUGUAAUUAUUUAUUCAGACCUCUAUCAUUUUGUGGCCAAUGGUCAUUGUAAUUAAUGCUUAAAGCUCUGACUUACUUUGAGAGUAUAUUCAAUGGAAUUAUUAUGAUAA
Molecule: long non-coding RNA, 2483 nt
Organism: Quercus robur (English oak)
Lineage: Eukaryota; Viridiplantae; Streptophyta; Magnoliopsida; Fagales; Fagaceae
Exons: 2
Source: RefSeq, a predicted model, not a curated record